ACAUUACAAUUAAUGCAUUAGCUAAUGAAUCCAGCAUUUUCCCCACCCCUCAUCUGCCUGUUGCAGAGCUGGGCCAUGAACUCGGAUUUCUGAACCCCAGCUUUAACCAUAAGACCAUCCUUUGUUCAUUCCCAGUUCUGUGCUUUCUUUCAUGCAAUCCCCCACACCCAGGAGUCUUGGAAAAGGGGUUUAGCAAAUAUUGAUUACCUUUGCCUCCUUCAAAACACUCCUGGAGAAUCACUCACUUUGUGAACCUUUCUACCUGAAGAUCACUUGCUAUUCUGCAUGCAGUCCUAGGACUGUAAACUGUUCCAGAUAUUACUCCUGGGGGAAUUCUGCGUCACUGUGCAUGCACAGAAUUCAUGUCCCUUGCAGAUUUCUUUGCUUCCCCACAGAAAAAUGACUUCUGAUGGGGAAGCAAACGGAAGUCCACAAGAGCGGUCAUACAAUGUCUCCCCUGG
Gopherus evgoodei (Goodes thornscrub tortoise) is the source of this 461-nucleotide long non-coding RNA. RefSeq lists it as uncharacterized. The transcript is spliced from 3 exons. NCBI's taxonomy places the organism in Eukaryota, Metazoa, Chordata, Testudines, Testudinidae. The record is from RefSeq and is a predicted model, not a curated record.